GCUGGGUGUGGUGACCUGUGCCUGUAGUCUUAGUUACUCAGGAGGCUGAGGUGGGAAGAUCACUUGAGCCCAGGAGUUCAAGGUUGCAGUGAGUUAUGAUCAUGUCACUGUACUCUAGCCUGGGCAACAGAGUGAGACCCCAUUUCUA
Unclassified non-coding RNA from Callithrix jacchus (white-tufted-ear marmoset), 148 nucleotides. It matches the Rfam family "Metazoan signal recognition particle RNA". From Rfam's summary of the family: The signal recognition particle (SRP) is a universally conserved ribonucleoprotein. It is involved in the co-translational targeting of proteins to membranes. NCBI's taxonomy places the organism in Eukaryota, Metazoa, Chordata, Mammalia, Primates, Cebidae. The record is from Ensembl.